Ipomoea triloba (trilobed morning glory) is the source of this 4059-nucleotide long non-coding RNA. RefSeq lists it as uncharacterized. The record is from RefSeq and is a predicted model, not a curated record. Lineage: Eukaryota; Viridiplantae; Streptophyta; Magnoliopsida; Solanales; Convolvulaceae. The transcript has 2 exons.
GUCGCCCAAUCUGCAGGGUAUGUAAGAGGUGAAGAAAGAGCAGCAUUGAAUGAAUUGGACUGAAAAGUCACAGAAAAAACAGUAAUUUUACCAAAACUGCUUGUGCACCAAGGGCUAAGGCCUUAAAUAUAUCUGUUCCUCGCCUCACUCCUCCAUCAAAGAGCACCGGAACUUUUCCCUUGACAGCAAGAACUACCUGCAAUCAUGUACAUCAGGAAUGUGUCUGUUCUUCAGACAGGCUCUGGAAUGGAUACACAAAGUAAAUCAUAUAUUUUUUUAGCUCAAGCAUAAUGAUGGUCAAAUUUGUGAAUGAAAUGAUAGCUUCCUCUUAGCAGGGCAACUAGCAACUUUCUUUCAAGCAUCUGGUGUGUCCUGGUCAGUAUAUCCUUCCAAACUAAAGUAAUAGUGAGAUUUCACAUGAUGCAGACAAAUCUCAUGAGAAGAAAAGGAAUUACCUCUUCAAGAACUGAUAUAGUGGCUGGAGUAUAAUCAAGCUGGCGAGCUCCAUGGUUAGACACAAUAAUACCUGCAACUCCUACUUCCAAUGCUUUUAUUGCUGCAGAAAAUAUCAUGUCGUAGUAUAAGUAAGACUUGGAUAAAGGUAUAGACUUCAAGCAGUUAUUCUAAAGAUAAAUGCUUAUGAUGCACUUUGUUAAAACUUAAAAGUAAAGAUGUCAACGGGCCAGGGUGGGGGCGGAGAAGGGAAAAAUCGUGUUAAGAUUGAAAUGUGAAGGAAAUUAGACCUCUUGACAACAAUGGGAAGGUUUUGAAACUUGGACUAAAGUGGGAAAAGAGCAUUUGAGAGAUGCCUUUCAUGUCAGGGAGAAGGGAAAAAUCGUGUCAAGACUGAAAUGUGAAGGAAAUUAGACCUCUUGACAACAAUGGGAAGGUUUUGAAACUUGGACUAAAGUGGGAAAAGAGCAUUUGGGAGAUGCCUUUCAUGUCAGAAACGCAUUUCCCACAUGCUUUUGUCCAAAGACGCAAGUGGGAUUUGUUUGCGUCUCAUGUAUAAUAAAUCCAGACGCAAGUUCGACUUGCGUUUGUGAUCAAUAUUUGAGAAACGCAAACGCUCUUUUCCCAUUCUAGUCCAAGUUUCAAAAUCUUCCCAUUUUUGUGACAAAAAUAAUUUUAUUCCCAUUUCAGUAUUUGACCUGGGAAAAAUCUCCCCAUCCCCGUCCCCACGGGUAUUAUCCAGGGACAGGGAAUCCCUUACUCCGUUUACAACUUAUAAAAAAGACAAAAUUAAAAUACAUUUAAAUAAAUAAGUCAUAUAUAUUCAUCUUUAACUUAAAGUACUACUAAAAUUAUAUAUUAUAUACUGAGUAAUGCAUAUAUAUGUGUGUGUCGUGUGGCUAGAAUGCUUAUCUAUGUAUAGUUUCUGGGGCAGGGCGGGGUUGGUACUCCCUGUGUGUCGUGUGGCUAGAAUGCUUAUCUAUGUAUAGUUUCGGGGGUGGGGCGGGGUUAGUACUCCCUGUCCCUGCCCGGCAAGGAAUUAGAAAUUUCCUCCAUCCCCACCCUUGUUCCCCAAUUUUCAUCCUCAUCCCUGUCCACGUCGGGGCGGGGAGUCGGGUUCCCCAUCGGGAAUGAGUACAAUUGACAUCCCUAGUUAAGAGUAUAGUUCAGCGCAUUGUACAUAAUUCUAAUAAGCUAUUGAUGGGAGAGCUGCAUAGAUUGCAGGGAGGAAACACAGUGCACAGGGAAUGACCCUCUUUGAUUCCUGCACUCUAGCAGAAUGUCAGAAACCGGCACUGGUAUAUAAUGAUGACCGAUGGAAAGCAAGUAAACAAUCCAGCCGUUGUCAGACCAAGGAUCCAGAUGUUGGCAAAUUUGAAACAAAGAUUCCAGGGAUCACUGGUAUGGAGAUGAUCUUGGAGGAGAUCUGCAAAGGAUUGGUUGCAGGGGAAUGGUGGGUUCAGAUGAUGUUGAUCAACAAGUUACUUGUGAACUACCUGUGGACAGGUGCAUUCCUACAAGUCACACAGUCCAGAAUCCUGUAGUGAAUCUAGCAAUGCAGAGUUUGAAUCUGCCUAACACGUAGGUAACUGUGGAAACACGUGGAAUGCUAGAGAACGAGGACAUGGAGUCCAUGUCAAAUGGCUAAGGGGAAAUCACAAGAUCAAACAUGAUAUUGUAUCAAUUUUGAAUAAAAUUUUGAUUGAUUUCGUUUUAGAUUAAGUCUAAACUUGUUUUAUGCUUGUUUGUCUUUGCUCCUCAUUAGUUUUCACUUUUCACUAUAUUUUUAGAUAUCUUUAUACUAUAAUUAUAUUUCUUUAUAGCUUUUCUUAAUUUUCUUUCAUUUUUUGUUGUUUUCUUUUUAAUAUUAAUUUCCUCGCAACUUUCAUUCGAUACGAACAAUAAAAACAGAUUCUUCUUUUUGAAGGAGAAUUAUGGGCUGACCAUCCUCAUGAGUGAGUAUCCCCUUGAGCAGAAUAGGUAACUUUGUAAUUGACUUUAACCAAGCUAUAUCCUGCAUUUUUUGUAAGCAGCACAAAAUAGUUAUAAAGAAAUUAAAUUAAUUUGAUGGCACAUUUUCAUGCUGUUUUUGUGAUAUUUUUCCUGUGAUGGGGCAAAGUUGAUUCAAACACCUAUAUGAGCAUUAAAGCCUGAGUGUUAUUUGAUCAGAAAGAAGUUUGAAGGUAAAUGAUGUUUGAGAAUGAGUUUAAUCAGAAAUUUCGUUUUAUUAUUAGUCAAAUCAGAAGUUUCCCUUGUGCCAUUGUAUUUAGAUUUUAGAAGAUUGAGUAUACAUUGUGAAUUUAUACCUUCCAACUGAGGGAACUGUCAAAAGUUGAUGAUGCAUAGGCUUCAAGACCAGAGCCGCUGCCCUGCAAACAACAGAUGAUUGAAUUCAUAGAAGCUACUGUAAGGUGUUGUUCUUUAUAAACUAAAAGACAAAAAGAGUUGAAAGAAAAAUGAGAUCAAGGAGCAUGUGCAUUCAAACAUCCAUAAACAGUGAGUCAUAUGAGUUUUAUCCUUUAUUAAUGUCAAAACAGUUGUGUAGGAUUCUGUAGUGUCUAUGAGCUUAUGCUUAUGUACAUAUGAAUGUGUUCUGUUCUGUGGAUAACUGUUAUUAUUCUCAACUUUGGCAUAUAAUGAAACCUUUCUUUCUUGUAAUAGUGCUAAAUUUGAUUUGCACUCAAGCUGACUUCUAACAUGAUAUUUGUAAAACAGAGCCUAUAUAAGAGGCGAGAAAACCUUGUUAAAUACACUUACAGGGACAACUGCGGUGGAGAUGAGCCCUUCAAAAUUCUUUGAUGGAGGUAAAACCAAUCUGCAGCAGUUUUGGAGAUAGAUGAUAUUCAUAUGAUAGGACAAUAAAAGCAAGCUUAUGAAUUCUCUUAUGUGUGGUGUGGAAGGAGCAUAUAUGGAGAUUGUGACAAAUAGGAAGAAGAGAAUACAUAGAUCUGAAAGAAGCGAACAGCAUUGCAGCUAGAGGCAACUUCCUCUAUCGAGCAGGAUGGGGAGAAUGACAAUCCCUAUCACAAUCAAGAGUGACUUUAACAUUAACAUCAGUUUUUAAGCGCACCAGCAGCCUAAGAGGACAAGUCUACGCGGCCAGAAGAAGGAACUUUAGUACCAUUAUGACGUCACAUGCCGCUGCUGCUCUAGCUGUUGCAACUUCCCCUGCAAAAUAUUUCAUUGCCUACUUGAAUCAGAGCAACACACACACACACACCAAGUUAGGUAAUAGAGCGGGUAACCCCCCUCCCCCGUCAAGAUGGUUUGGUUUGAUCUGGUUAGCUAUGGCUUAUGGGCAACUUAAGCUGGUUUACCUCUUUGUGGUCCUUUGCUGACUAGGAUCACAAGGUGGGGUUUACCCAGUGCACACCCUCGGGUAGUGAUUACGGGUUUCUCUUGUCACUUCAGAAAAAAAGUUAAGGUAAUAGAGUAAGAAGCAUACAUACCAUCAGGAUGUGCAAGUUUAUGCCUGUCAGUUGGGGCAAUGAUAAUGGGAGCUGAUGUUUUGUAACCCAGUAUUGUGGUUGACAUAUCAAUUCUGCUUACAUCAAUAAGAACUCUUGGCCGAAUACUGAAACCAGUGAAAUUUGAUGUUCAGAUUCA